This 624-nucleotide long non-coding RNA is filed under the name Ananas comosus (pineapple). RNAcentral describes it as "long non-coding RNA (ACOM_LNC005954)". The record is from RNAcentral. Lineage: Eukaryota; Viridiplantae; Streptophyta; Magnoliopsida; Poales; Bromeliaceae.
GGUCGUCAAAAACUAUCAAUUUUGCAAUCUUUUGAUCACUAUGUAAAUAAAUUUUAAAAUUUAUAAAAUUUAGUUUCUAAAUAAUUUAAAUACACUAGAUCAACUUCAACGGUUUCGAUCAUCUAUUCGGGAUCUCUAUUAUCAAAAGCAAUUUGAUAGGACGAAGGUCCCUAUCCUCCUAAAAGGACAGCGGCUGAAUUCUAUAUAUAUAUAUAUAUAUAUNAUUCGGGAUCUCUAUUAUCAAAAGCAAUUUGAUAGGACGAAGGUCCCUAUCCUCCUAAAAGGACAGCGGCUGAAUUCUAUAUAUAUAUAUAUAUAUAUAUAUAUAUAUAAGUUGUUAUGCUAUCGGAAGUAUAAAGGAUCUAGUGCUUUCGACUUUUUGACUCUUAGAUCAGCCCUUUAACUAUUUCUAUUCUUUGGAUUAAUACUAUUAUCCUGUGGGGACCACUCAACCCUAGGUAGGGUUGUCAAUGGGUAUGGAUACCCAAAAUUUUAUCCGAACCCGAAUCCGAAUAAAAUAGAUAUAUCCGAUGCUAAAUGGAUAUGGAUUCGGAUAUGGAUGUCAAAAAUAGAAACCCGACGGAUAUGGAUUUAGAUAUGGAUUUUGACGGUACCCGACCCGAA